RNAcentral lists this ribosomal RNA (643 nucleotides) under uncultured bacterium. Its description in RNAcentral is "bacterial SSU rRNA". It matches the Rfam family "Bacterial small subunit ribosomal RNA", at positions 612 to 1258 of the family's 1533-position model. The record is from RNAcentral.
ACCCCAGACCUGCAUUCGAUACGGGCGAGCUAGAGUGUGGUAGGGGAGACUGGAAUUCCUGGUGUAGCGGUGGAAUGCGCAGAUAUCAGGAGGAACACCAAUGGCGAAGGCAGGUCUCUGGGCCAUUACUGACACUGAGGAGCGAAAGCGUGGGGAGCGAACAGGAUUAGAUACCCUGGUAGUCCACGCCGUAAACGGUGGGCACUAGUUGUGGGAACCUUCCACGGUUUCUGCGACGCAGCUAACGCAUUAAGUGCCCCGCCUGGGGAGUACGAUCGCAAGAUUAAAACUCAAAGGAAUUGACGGGGCCCCGCACAAGCAGCGGAGCAUGCGGCUUAAUUCGACGCAACGCGAAGAACCUUACCAAGGCUUGACAUAUACAGGAAUAUGGCAGAAAUGUCAUAGCCGCAAGGUCUGUAUACAGGUGGUGCAUGGUUGUCGUCAGCUCGUGUCGUGAGAUGUUGGGUUAAGUCCCGCAACGAGCGCAACCCUCGUUCUGUGUUGCCAGCAUUUAGUUGGGGACUCACAGGAGACUGCCGGGGUUAACUCGGAGGAAGGUGGGGAUGACGUCAAAUCAUCAUGCCCCUUAUGUCUUGGGCUGCACGCAUGCUACAAUGGCUGGUACAAACAGCUGCGAUACCGC